AGUGAACGCUGGCGGUAGGCCUAACACAUGCAAGUCGAACGGCAGCACAGUAAGAGCUUGCUCUUACGGGUGGCGAGUGGCGGACGGGUGAGGAGUACAUCGGAAUCUACUUUUUCGUGGGGGAUAACGUAGGGAAACUUACGCUAAUACCGCAUACGACCUACGGGUGAAAGCAGGGGAUCUUCGGACCUUGCGCGAUUGAAUGAGCCGAUGUCGGAUUAGCUAGUUGGCGGGGUAAAGGCCCACCAAGGCGACGAUCCGUAGCUGGUCUGAGAGGAUGAUCAGCCACACUGGAACUGAGACACGGUCCAGACUCCUACGGGAGGCAGCAGUGGGGAAUAUUGGACAAUGGGCGCAAGCCUGAUCCAGCCAUGCCGCGUGGGUGAAGAAGGCCUUCGGGUUGUAAAGUCCUUUUGUUGGGAAGGAAAAGCAGAAGGUUAAUACCCCGCUGUUCUGACGGUACCCAAAGAAUAAGCACCGGCUAACUCCGUG
RNAcentral lists this ribosomal RNA (492 nucleotides) under uncultured bacterium. RNAcentral describes it as "partial 16S ribosomal RNA". It matches the Rfam family "Bacterial small subunit ribosomal RNA", at positions 29 to 507 of the family's 1533-position model. The record is from RNAcentral.